Molecule: ribosomal RNA, 506 nt
Filed under: uncultured bacterium
Lineage: Bacteria
Description: partial 16S ribosomal RNA
Rfam family: Bacterial small subunit ribosomal RNA
Source: RNAcentral
AUUGAACGCUGGCGGCAGGCCUAACACAUGCAAGUCGAACGGCAGCACAGAAGAGCUUGCUCUUUGGGUGGCGAGUGGCGGACGGGUGAGUAACGUCUGGGAAACUGCCCGAUGGAGGGGGAUAACUACUGGAAACGGUAGCUAAUACCGCAUAACGUCGCAAGACCAAAGUGGGGGACCUUCGGGCCUCACACCAUCGGAUGUGCCCAGAUGGGAUUAGCUAGUAGGUGGGGUAAUGGCUCACCUAGGCGACGAUCCCUAGCUGGCCUGAGAGGAUGACCAGCCACACUGGAACUGAGACACGGUCCAGACUCCUACGGGAGGCAGCAGUGGGGAAUAUUGCACAAUGGGCGCAAGCCUGAUGCAGCCAUGCCGCGUGUAUGAAGAAGGCCUUCGGGUUGUAAAGUACUUUCAGCGGGGAGGAAGGCGGUGAAGUUAAUAGCUUCACCGAUUGACGUUACCCGCAGAAGAAGCACCGGCUAACUCCGUGCCAGCCGCCGCCGUAA